CCCUUAGAUGUCCUGGGCUGCACGCGCGCUACACUGAUGUGUCCAGUAAGCACCUAACCUCUUCCGAAGGGAACGGGUAACCUUAGCAAAGCACAUCGUGAUGGGGAUAGAUUAUUGCAAUUAUUAGUCUUGAACGAGGAAUUCCUAGUAAGCACAAGUCAUCAGCUUGUGUUGAUUACGUCCCUGCCCUUUGUACACACCGCCCGUCGCUCCUACCGAUUGAAUGUUCCGGUGAACCUUUCGGACCGGGAGCAGCCUCGUGCUGCGCCUGGAAAGUCAAGUAAACCACAUCACUUAGAGGAAGGAGAAGUCGUAACA
This 318-nucleotide ribosomal RNA is filed under the name uncultured eukaryote. RNAcentral's name for it is "partial 18S ribosomal RNA". It matches the Rfam family "Eukaryotic small subunit ribosomal RNA", at positions 1470 to 1796 of the family's 1831-position model. The record is from RNAcentral.